AACGCUAGCUACAGGCUUAACACAUGCAAGUCGAGGGGCAGCAUCAUCAAAGCUUGCUUUGAUGGAUGGCGACCGGCGCACGGGUGAGUAACACGUAUCCAACCUGCCGACAACACUGGGAUAGCCUUUCGAAAGAAAGAUUAAUACCCGAUGGCAUAGUUCUUCCGCAUGGUAGAACUAUUAAAGAAUUUCGGUCAUCGAUGGGGAUGCGUUCCGUUAGGUUGUUGGCGGGGUAACGGCCCACCAAGCCUUCGAUGGAUAGGGGUUCUGAGAGGAAGGUCCCCCACAUUGGAACUGAGACACGGUCCAAACUCCUACGGGAGGCAGCAGUGAGGAAUAUUGGUCAAUGGACGAGAGUCUGAACCAGCCAAGUAGCGUGAAGGAUGACUGCCCUAUGGGUUGUAAACUUCUUUUAUACGGGAAUAAAGUGAGGCACGUGUGCCUUUUUGUAUGUACCGUAUGAAUAAGGAUCGGCUAACUCCGUGCCAGCAGCCGCGGUAAUACGGAGGAUCCGAGCGUUAUCCGGAUUUAUUGGGUUUAAAGGGAGCGUAGGCGGACGCUUAAGUCAGUUGUGAAAGUUUGCGGCUCAACCGUAAAAUUGCAGUUGAUACUGGGUGUCUUGAGUACAGUAGAGGCAGGCGGAAUUCGUGGUGUAGCGGUGAAAUGCUUAGAUAUCACGAAGAACUCCGAUUG
Molecule: ribosomal RNA, 693 nt
Filed under: uncultured Bacteroidales bacterium
Lineage: Bacteria; Pseudomonadati; Bacteroidota; Bacteroidia; Bacteroidales
Description: bacterial SSU rRNA
Rfam family: Bacterial small subunit ribosomal RNA
Source: RNAcentral